Molecule: ribosomal RNA, 205 nt
Filed under: uncultured bacterium
Lineage: Bacteria
Description: partial 16S ribosomal RNA
Rfam family: Bacterial small subunit ribosomal RNA
Source: RNAcentral
UACGUAGGGUGCAAGCGUUGUCCGGAAUUAUUGGGCGUAAAGAGCUCGUAGGCGGUUUGUCGCGUCGGCUGUGAAAUCCUCCGGCUCAACUGGAGGCCUGCAGUCGAUACGGGCAGACUAGAGUGCUGUAGGGGAGACUGGAAUUCCUGGUGUAGCGGUGAAAUGCGCAGAUAUCAGGAGGAACACCGGUGGCGAAGGCGGGUCU